This 492-nucleotide ribosomal RNA is filed under the name uncultured bacterium. Its description in RNAcentral is "partial 16S ribosomal RNA". It matches the Rfam family "Bacterial small subunit ribosomal RNA", at positions 29 to 507 of the family's 1533-position model. The record is from RNAcentral.
AGUGAACGCUGGCGGUAGGCCUAACACAUGCAAGUCGAACGGCAGCACAGUAAGAGCUUGCUCUUACGGGUGGCGAGUGGCGGACGGGUGAGGAAUACAUCGGAAUCUACUUUUUCGUGGGGGAUAACGUAGGGAAACUUACGCUAAUACCGCAUACGACCUACGGUUGAAAGCAGGGGAUCUUCGGACCUUGCGCGAUUAAAUGAGCCGAUGUCGGAUUAGCUAGUUGGCGGGGUAGAGGCCCACCAAGGCGGCGAUCCGUAGCUGGUAUGAGAGGGCGGACAGACACACGGGAACUGAGACACGGUCCAGACUUUGACGGGGGGAAGCAGUGCGGAAUAUUGGACGAGGGGCGCAAGCCUGAUCCUGCCAUACCGGGUGAGUGAAGAAGGCCUGCGGGUUGUAAAGCCCUUUUGUUGGGAAAGAAGAGCAGCAGGUUAAUACCCCGCUGUUCUGACGGUACCCAAAGAAUAAGCACCGGCUAACUUCGUG